GCGCUGCAUUAGCUAGUUGGUAAGGUAACGGCUUACCAAGGCAACGAUGCAUAGCCGACCUGAGAGGGUGAUCGGCCACACUGGAACUGAGACACGGUCCAGACUCCUACGGGAGGCAGCAGUAGGGAAUCUUCCGCAAUGGGCGAAAGCCUGACGGAGCAACGCCGCGUGAGUGAUGAAGGUCUUCGGAUCGUAAAACUCUGUUAUUAGGGAAGAACAUAUGUGUAAGUAACUGUGCACAUCUUGACGGUACCUAAUCAGAAAGCCACGGCUAACUACGUGCCAGCAGCCGCGGUAAUACGUAGGUGGCAAGCGUUAUCCGGAAUUAUUGGGCGUAAAGCGCGCGUAGGCGGUUUUUUAAGUCUGAUGUGAAAGCCCACGGCUCAACCGUGGAGGGUCAUUGGAAACUGGAAAACUUGAGUGCAGAAGAGGAAAGUGGAAUUCCAUGUGUAGCGGUGAAAUGCGCAGAGAUAUGGAGGAACACCAGUGGCGAAGGCGACUUUCUGGUCUGUAACUGACGCUGAUGUGCGAAAGCGUGGGGAUCAAACAGGAUUAGAUACCCUGGUAGUCCACGCCGUAAACGAUGAGUGCUAAGUGUUAGGGGGUUUCCGCCCCUUAGUGCUGCAGCUAACGCAUUAAGCACUCCGCCUGGGGAGUACGACCGCAAGGUUGAAACUCAAAGGAAUUGACGGGGACCCGCACAAGCGGUGGAGCAUGUGGUUUAA
This 725-nucleotide ribosomal RNA is filed under the name Staphylococcus aureus. RNAcentral describes it as "bacterial SSU rRNA". It matches the Rfam family "Bacterial small subunit ribosomal RNA", at positions 233 to 949 of the family's 1533-position model. Lineage: Bacteria; Bacillati; Bacillota; Bacilli; Caryophanales; Staphylococcaceae. The record is from RNAcentral.